Molecule: long non-coding RNA, 737 nt
Filed under: Mustela putorius furo (domestic ferret)
Lineage: Eukaryota; Metazoa; Chordata; Mammalia; Carnivora; Mustelidae
Description: lncRNA (ENSMPUG00000029602.1)
Source: RNAcentral
CAGGGCUGCAAAUGCAGGGAAAGCAUCUUGAGGAAGAUGUGGGUGUUAAGAAGGUCUGGGAAGAGCAGGUAUGGCUGUAAGCGAAGUCACACAGCGGCCCCGCAUUGCCAGAUGAGGAUCGUACGGCUCAUCUCCAACCAGAGAGAAAUCACAAGUAGAUGGAGAGGCAGGAAGAGAGAGAGGGACGCAGGCUCCCCGCUGAGCAGAGAGCCCGACGCGGGACUCGAUCCCAGGACCCUGGGAUCAUGACCUGAGCCGAAGGCAGUGGCUUAACCCACUGAGCCACCCAGGCGCCCCCAUCUCUUAGGAUGUAUUACAUUAUGAAUAUUUCAAGCAAGUUUUAUUAUUUUUGGUUUGUUUACUCUGGAUACCCAAAUCAUCUUUAUAAUAAAGCACAUAAAACAUGUUAAAAAGUGUAAAGAAAGUACCAUAUGAUCUUAAUAGCAUAAAAUGGGUUUGCAUUAAAAUAUUUCCUUUAUGACAAUUAUCAUAUGAUCUCUCUGAUAUGAGGAAAACUUGAGAAGCAGGGCGGGGGUUGGUAGUGGGUAGAGAAGGAAAAAAAUGAAACAAGAUGGGAUUGGGAGAGAGACAAACCAUAAGAGACUCUUAAUCUCACAAAACAAACUGUGGGUUGCUGGGGGGAGAGGGAGAUGGGGUGGCUGGGUGAUGGACAAUGGGGAAGGUAUGUGCUAUGGUGAGUGCUGUGAAGUGUGUAAGUCUGAUGAUUCGCAGACCUG